CGUUAUCUACUGCGACAUCUAGAGAAUGCAGUCUUGCAAGACUACUCUGGACCGAGCAGCUGACCCCUUCUUCCACCUCCCCUUCUCACUGUCUCUUUUGCCUAAUAAAUAUGAAGGGCUGUGUAAAGCUCAGGGCCCUUGUCCCCUAGAGGCAAAGCGCCCCCGAUCCCUUCUUCCAAAUACACUCUUUUGUCUCAUCUUUAUUCCCGUGUUCACCCCACUUUGUUUAGUCCACCUAGGUCCGUGCAGGUUACAAAUGGCAACCAGAACAGGGACUCCAAGCACGCCCAACUAGCAGCAUCCAAACAUGGGACUUCAAGGACGUGAAUGAAGAAGGUCUGCUGGAGCAGAGGAACUGAAAUUGACAAGGCGAAAGGGGACCCUGGGAAGAGUCUGCCGGCAGCAGAUAUAAGUCUGUAAAAUCGGAUGGACCACCAAUUGGAGAAUGAGAGCCUCCCAGCCCAGCCUUACAUUCUUUCAAUUAAUACAUAAACAGAAAGGGGGAUAUGCAGGGAGCCAAAGGCCUGUGGGACGUGACCAACUCAGCAUUCUGCUGGAGGCUAUAUGAUCAAACAGCAAACUGUUUAUCAUGAAUACAGGAUGUGAGCAAACUCAGGACUGCUCCUGCCAACAUAAGGUUUGCUGGAGGCAAUCACUCCCUGGCACCGAGGUUAUCUACUGCGACAUCUAGAGAAUGCAGUCUUGCAAGCCUACUCUGAACUGAGCAGCCGACCCCUUCUUCCACCCCCCCACCCUCCUAUCUCUUUUGCCUAAUAAAUACGGAGGGCUGUGUAAAGCUCAGGGCCCUUGUCCACUAGAGGUAAGGUGCUCC
Molecule: long non-coding RNA, 832 nt
Filed under: Homo sapiens (human)
Lineage: Eukaryota; Metazoa; Chordata; Mammalia; Primates; Hominidae
Description: non-protein coding ZNF350-AS1:9
Source: RNAcentral